Molecule: unclassified non-coding RNA, 381 nt
Filed under: uncultured Gammaproteobacteria bacterium
Lineage: Bacteria; Pseudomonadati; Pseudomonadota; Gammaproteobacteria
Description: contains 16S-23S intergenic spacer region
Source: RNAcentral
UCCGGUUUGUCACCGGCAGUCUCCUUAGAGUGCCCACCUUAACGUGCUGGUAACUAAGGACAAGGGUUGCGCUCGUUACGGGACUUAACCCAACAUCUCACGACACGAGCUGACGACAGCCAUGCAGCACCUGUGUGAUGGUUCUCUUUCGAGCACUCCCAAAUCUCUCCGGGAUUCCAUCCAUGUCAAGGGUAGGUAAGGUUUUUCGCGUUGCAUCGAAUUAAUCCACAUCAUCCACCGCUUGUGCGGGUCCCCGUCAAUUCCAUUGAGUUUUAAUCUUGCGACCGUACUCCCCAGGCGGAUGACUUCGCGCGUUAGCUGCGUUACUAAGGGAUUUAACUCCCCCAACAACUAGUCAUCAUCGUUUAGGGCGUGGACUAC